UUGGAGGGCAAGUCUGGUGCCAGCAGCCGCGGUAAUUCCAGCUCCAAUAGCGUAUAUUAAAGUUGUUGCAGUUAAAAAGCUCGUAGUUGAAUUUCGGGGUCAGCAAGUUGGUCGUGCCACUGGUAUGCACUGGCUUUGCUGAUUCCUCCUUCUUGUAGAACCGUAAUGCCAUUAAGUUGGUGUUGCGGGGAAACAGGACUGUUACUUUGAAAAAAUUAGAGUGUUUAAAGCAGGCUAACGCUUGAAUACAUUAGCAUGGAAUAAUGAAAUAGGACGACGAUCCUAUUUUGUUGGUUUCUAGGAUUGACGUAAUGAUUAAUAGGGAUAGUUGGGGGCAUUAGUAUUCAAUUGUCAGAGGUGAAAUUCUUGGAUUUAUUGAAGACUAACUACUGCGAAAGCAUUUGCCAAGGAUGUUUUCAUUAAUCAAGAACGAAAGUUAGGGGAUCGAAGACGAUCAGAUACCGUCGUAGUCUUAACCAUAAACUAUGCCGACUAGGGAUCGGAUGAUGUUAAUUUUAUAAUGACUCAUUCGGCGCCUUACGGG
This 544-nucleotide ribosomal RNA is filed under the name uncultured Glomeromycotina. RNAcentral's name for it is "SSU rRNA". It matches the Rfam family "Eukaryotic small subunit ribosomal RNA", at positions 548 to 1094 of the family's 1831-position model. The record is from RNAcentral. Lineage: Eukaryota; Fungi; Glomeromycota.